RNAcentral lists this ribosomal RNA (491 nucleotides) under uncultured bacterium. Its description in RNAcentral is "bacterial SSU rRNA". It matches the Rfam family "Bacterial small subunit ribosomal RNA", at positions 28 to 524 of the family's 1533-position model. The record is from RNAcentral.
GACGAACGCUGGCGGCGUGCUUAACACAUGCAAGUCGAGCGGUAAGGCCCUUUCGGGGGUACACGAGCGGCGAACGGGUGAGUAACACGUGGGUGACCUGCCCUUAGCUCUGGGAUAAGCCUGGGAAACUGGGUCUAAUACCGGAUAUGACUCCAUGACGCAUGUUGUGGGGUGGAAAGCCUUGUGCGGCUAGGGAUGGGCCCGCGGCCUAUCAGCUUGUUGGUGGGGUGAUGGCCUACCAAGGCGACGACGGGUAGCCGGCCUGAGAGGGCGACCGGCCACACUGGGACUGAGACACGGCCCAGACUCCUACGGGAGGCAGCAGUGGGGAAUAUUGCGCAAUGGGCGAAAGCCUGACGCAGCGACGCCGCGUGUGGGAUGAAGGUCUUCGGAUUGUAAACCACUGUCGGGAGGGACGAAUGCGCCGCAAGGCGAGUGACGGUACCUCCAAAGGAAGCACCGGCUAACUCUGUGCCAGCAGCCGCCGUAAU